RNAcentral lists this ribosomal RNA (484 nucleotides) under uncultured bacterium. Its description in RNAcentral is "partial 16S ribosomal RNA". It matches the Rfam family "Bacterial small subunit ribosomal RNA", at positions 30 to 507 of the family's 1533-position model. The record is from RNAcentral.
AUUGAACGCUGGCGGCAGGCCUAACACAUGCAAGUCGAGCGGAUGAAGGGAGCUUGCUCCUGGAUUCAGCGGCGGACGGGUGAGUAAUGCCUAGGAAUCUGCCUGGUAGUGGGGGAUAACGUCCGGAAACGGGCGCUAAUACCGCAUACGUCCUGAGGGAGAAAGUGGGGGAUCUUCGGACCUCACGCUAUCAGAUGAGCCUAGGUCGGAUUAGCUAGUUGGUGGGGUAAAGGCCUACCAAGGCGACGAUCCGUAACUGGUCUGAGAGGAUGAUCAGUCACACUGGAACUGAGACACGGUCCAGACUCCUACGGGAGGCAGCAGUGGGGAAUACUGGACAAUGGGCGAAAGCCUGAUCCAGCCAUGCCGCGUGUGUGAAGAAGGUCUUCGGAUUGUAGAGCACUUUAAGUUGGGAGGAAGGGCAGUAAGUUAAUACCUUGCUGUUUUGACGUUACCAACAGAAUAAGCACCGGCUAACUUCGUG